This 2898-nucleotide ribosomal RNA is filed under the name Neisseria gonorrhoeae. RNAcentral's name for it is "23S ribosomal RNA". It matches the Rfam family "Bacterial large subunit ribosomal RNA". The record is from RNAcentral. Lineage: Bacteria; Pseudomonadati; Pseudomonadota; Betaproteobacteria; Neisseriales; Neisseriaceae.
AUAGAGUCAAGUGAAUAAGUGCAUCAGGCGGAUGCCUUGGCGAUGAUAGGCGACGAAGGACGUGUAAGCCUGCGAAAAGCGCGGGGGAGCUGGCAAUAAAGCUAUGAUUCCGCGAUGUCCGAAUGGGGAAACCCACUGCAUUCUGUGCAGUAUCCUAAGUUGAAUACAUAGGCUUAGAGAAGCGAACCCGGAGAACUGAACCAUCUAAGUACCCGGAGGAAAAGAAAUCAACCGAGAUUCCGCAAGUAGUGGCGAGCGAACGCGGAGGAGCCUGUACGUAAUAACUGUCGAGAUAGAAGAACAAGCUGGGAAGCUUGACCAUAGCGGGUGACAGUCCCGUAUUCGAAAUCUCAACAGCGGUACUAAGCGUACGAAAAGUAGGGCGGGACACGUGAAAUCCUGUCUGAAUAUGGGGGGACCAUCCUCCAAGGCUAAAUACUCAUCAUCGACCGAUAGUGAACCAGUACCGUGAGGGAAAGGCGAAAAGAACCCCGGGAGGGGAGUGAAACAGAACCUGAAACCUGAUGCAUACAAACAGUGGGAGCGCCCUAGUGGUGUGACUGCGUACCUUUUGUAUAAUGGGUCAACGACUUACAUUCAGUAGCGAGCUUAACCGGAUAGGGGAGGCGUAGGGAAACCGAGUCUUAAUAGGGCGAUGAGUUGCUGGGUGUAGACCCGAAACCGAGUGAUCUAUCCAUGGUCAGGUUGAAGGUGCCGUAACAGGUACUGGAGGACCGAACCCACGCAUGUUGCAAAAUGCGGGGAUGAGCUGUGGGUAGGGGUGAAAGGCUAAACAAACUCGGAGAUAGCUGGUUCUCCCCGAAAACUAUUUAGGUAGUGCCUCGAGCAAGACACUGAUGGGGGUAAAGCACUGUUAUGGCUAGGGGGUUAUUGCAACUUACCAACCCAUGGCAAACUCAGAAUACCAUCAAGUGGUUCCUCGGGAGACAGACAGCGGGUGCUAACGUCCGUUGUCAAGAGGGAAACAACCCAGACCGCCGGCUAAGGUCCCAAAUGAUAGAUUAAGUGGUAAACGAAGUGGGAAGGCACAGACAGCCAGGAUGUUGGCUUAGAAGCAGCCAUCAUUUAAAGAAAGCGUAAUAGCUCACUGGUCGAGUCGUCCUGCGCGGAAGAUGUAACGGGGCUCAAAUCUAUAACCGAAGCUGCGGAUGCCGGUUUACCGGCAUGGUAGGGGAGCGUUCUGUAGGCUGAUGAAGGUGCAUUGUAAAGUGUGCUGGAGGUAUCAGAAGUGCGAAUGUUGACAUGAGUAGCGAUAAAGCGGGUGAAAAGCCCGCUCGCCGAAAGCCCAAGGUUUCCUACGCAACGUUCAUCGGCGUAGGGUAAGUCGGCACCUAAGGCGAGGCAGAAAUGCGUAGUCGAUGGGAAACAGGUUAAUAUUCCUGUACUUGAUUCAAAUGCGAUGUGGGGACGGAGAAGGUUAGGUUGGCAAGCUGUUGGAAUAGCUUGUUUAAGCCGGUAGGUGGAAGACUUAGGCAAAUCCGGGUUUUCUUAACACCGAGAAGUGAUGACGAGUGUCUACGGACACGAAGCAACCGAUACCACGCUUCCAGGAAAAGCCACUAAGCUUCAGUUUGAAUCGAACCGUACCGCAAACCGACACAGGUGGGCAGGAUGAGAAUUCUAAGGCGCUUGAGAGAACUCGGGAGAAGGAACUCGGCAAAUUGAUACCGUAACUUCGGGAGAAGGUAUGCCCUCUAAGGUUAAGGACUUGCUCCGUAAGCCCCGGAGGGUCGCAGAGAAUAGGUGGCUGCGACUGUUUAUUAAAAACACAGCACUCUGCCAACACGAAAGUGGACGUAUAGGGUGUGACGCCUGCCCGGUGCCGGAAGGUUAAUUGAAGAUGUGCAAGCAUCGGAUCGAAGCCCCGGUAAACGGCGGCCGUAACUAUAACGGUCCUAAGGUAGCGAAAUUCCUUGUCGGGUAAGUUCCGACCCGCACGAAUGGCGUAACGAUGGCCACACUGUCUCCUCCCGAGACUCAGCGAAGUUGAAGUGGUUGUGAAGAUGCAAUCUACCCGCUGCUAGACGGAAAGACCCCGUGAACCUUUACUGUAGCUUUGCAUUGGACUUUGAAGUCACUUGUGUAGGAUAGGUGGGAGGCUUGGAAGCAGAGACGCCAGUCUCUGUGGAGUCGUCCUUGAAAUACCACCCUGGUGUCUUUGAGGUUCUAACCCAGACCCGUCAUCCGGGUCGGGGACCGUGCAUGGUAGGCAGUUUGACUGGGGCGGUCUCCUCCCAAAGCGUAACGGAGGAGUUCGAAGGUUACCUAGGUCCGGUCGGAAAUCGGACUGAUAGUGCAAUGGCAAAAGGUAGCUUAACUGCGAGACCGACAAGUCGGGCAGGUGCGAAAGCAGGACAUAGUGAUCCGGUGGUUCUGUAUGGAAGGACCAUCGCUCAACGGAUAAAAGGUACUCCGGGGAUAACAGGCUGAUUCCGCCCAAGAGUUCAUAUCGACGGCGGAGUUUGGCACCUCGAUGUCGGCUCAUCACAUCCUGGGGCUGUAGUCGGUCCCAAGGGUAUGGCUGUUCGCCAUUUAAAGUGGUACGUGAGCUGGGUUUAAAACGUCGUGAGACAGUUUGGUCCCUAUCUGCAGUGGGCGUUGGAAGUUUGACGGGGGCUGCUCCUAGUACGAGAGGACCGGAGUGGACGAACCUCUGGUGUACCGGUUGUAACGCCAGUUGCAUAGCCGGGUAGCUAAGUUCGGAAGAGAUAAGCGCUGAAAGCAUCUAAGCGCGAAACUCGCCUGAAGAUGAGACUUCCCUUGCGGUUUAACCGCACUAAAGGGUCGUUCGAGACCAGGACGUUGAUAGGUGGGGUGUGGAAGCGCGGUAACGCGUGAAGCUAACCCAUACUAAUUGCCCGUGAGGCUUGACUCUAU